RNAcentral lists this transfer RNA (71 nucleotides) under Schistocephalus solidus. It matches the Rfam family "tRNA". Rfam says of the family: Transfer RNA (tRNA) molecules are approximately 80 nucleotides in length. Lineage: Eukaryota; Metazoa; Platyhelminthes; Cestoda; Diphyllobothriidea; Diphyllobothriidae. The record is from Rfam by way of RNAcentral.
GAGCGCGUGGCUCAAUGGUAGAGCGUUUGACUAAAAUAUAAAAGGUCGCGGGUUCGAAUCCCAGGUGUUCC